Molecule: long non-coding RNA, 2258 nt
Organism: Acinonyx jubatus (cheetah)
Lineage: Eukaryota; Metazoa; Chordata; Mammalia; Carnivora; Felidae
Exons: 3
Source: RefSeq, a predicted model, not a curated record
GGAGCCAGGUCAGAGAAAGCAUUGCAGCUUCCUCCUGGCUCUCCUCUCUUUUCCACUUGGAAGCCCUGAGCCAACAGGAAAGCAGUCUGGUCAUGCUGGGGAAUACCAGGGAGGGGAGACAGGGAAAGGUGCCGGAAGUUGCUACCGCGACUCUCCCAGUAUUACCAGCCCAGCCACCAGACAUGUAAUCGAAGGAGGCUUUGCGACGCCCCAGCCGCAGUCUGACUGCAACCUGAAGAUGGACCCUGCCCAGUCACUGAUACGAUGAAGUCUAGUCCCUCUGACAGAUGUGGCAAAGCAUUAUCAGGGUCAAAGAAGAAGAAGAAGAGAUUGGGACAAAGACACAUACAGGGGAAGGAUGACGUAAGGACAUCAGGAGAUAGUUACCUACAAGCCAAGGAGAGAGGCCUCAGGAGAAACCAGACCUGCUGACACCCUAAUCUUGGACUUCCAGCCUCCAGAGCUGUCAGAGUAUAAGUCAGAGCUGUCUGUUGUUUAAGUCUGUGGUACUUUGCGAUGGCCCCUCUUGUGAACCAUCCAGUGUAACCUUACCCCUGAAGAAUCUGAGGUGUGGCAUCACCCAGCUUGUAUGGGUGUUAGGUCCAGGCUCUAGGGGGUACCCAUUCUCAGCCCAGAGGUCUUCAUACCUACCACACCCUGAAUUUGACUUGCAUGGGUUUCUAGAAAGGACAGAGAAGGAUGAUGGGAAGAUCAAGGGCACAGAGUUGGAAUCCAGUCCAUCAUCUGAAAGGAAAGGAUGACUUAAUGGCUGCUUGUAAAAUCCAACAGUUCUUGGGCCACCUCAGUAGUGACUUUUUUAUUAUUUUCCAUUUUCCCCCCAUUCUUCCCUUGGUUUCUAACUGGGGGGAAAUGAUUGGUUGUAGACACUUCAAAGCGACUUCAGCGUGAUUUUUACAUACGGGACACCAUGUUGGACCAGUAGGCCCAAAUUUAACCAGGGAGACCUCUUCAUUGGUGUUUACGGCUCUGAUUUGUUGACUGUCUCCCAGAACCUCCUUUGAUGAGAGAAUCUGGGACAGCUGGGGGAUUUGUGGUGACAGAGUUUAAGUGAUUUGUAAUUACAUUUUAUUUUAGUUUUAGUUUCUGUUGUUUUUUUUCUGAGCGUGUGUACCUUUUAGGCCUUUUUUCUUUUUUUUUCUCGUAACAUUACGGGCCUCUGAAUGCCAAACUAAUUUUCCCUCUCAAUCCCCUGUAGGUUUCAAGUGACAAGCUUUUAAAAGCACAGCCCUUGUUAGUUUUAGAGCCUUAAGACUCAUUGUCUUGUAGCCUUCCUGUCCCCCACCCCCCACUCUUAUUGUCAUCUCCCAGGGUGUUCUAAAUCUCUGAUUUCCCUCUCCGAGUGGUGUCUCCCAUUUAUUUUAUUUAGAGAUAAUGCAGAGCUUUUGAAUCUGAAGGAGGCUUGGCUAACUGAGCUUAGUGGGUUGGGAGGUUGGGCGAUAUCUCAGCAUAAUCCCAAUGUCAAAAAAAAAAAAAAAGGCUGAAAUGCCCAGAGGCUAUUUUUCAGAAACCCCAUUGUUUUAGGCACAAUUCUAUCGGUGAAAUUCAAGCUUCUGGACUUAUUUCCACUGAUUGGCAUGAUUGACACAGUGCCAGGCAUUGUGUGGUGAACCAGGUGGCUUUGUGGCCUAGACUGGCCGUCACAAACACCAGCAAAUGUAGCAGGAUUAUGUAGCAGGAUAUGUAGCAGUCAAGUCUGGACAGACUGUGAUUAUUCGGCUGUGGAUGCUGAAGGUCAGGGCGCGGGUGGCCUUGAAAACCGUGCUUUACGUUGCCUUCCAGCACGUAGAGAAGAAAUGAAGCCAGGCCUCUUUCAUGAGGACCACUAAGUAACACAACAGGUAGUGCUUACUUAAAAACAGGAUCCAUGACAAAGCAUUCUAAUCAAGGCUUUCACGUUGGCCCUGUAAAAUAGUUUAACUGCCAAAAAAGAUGCAUUAGAGAGCAAAAUACUGGUUUUAAUUGGUGGGUUUUUUUUUUCUUUUCUUAAAAAAAGGGAAACUUCAGAGCACAUUUUAAUUUAAGUUCUGGCCCUUGAGACUUUUCUUACUUGUGUGGCUACCAGCAAACGGUAUGUGAAUUAAUGGAUAUUAAGCCUCUCAAAUUAGCUUUUUAACAAUGAUAAACGUACGCACCUUGUAGCAAUUAAAAAUAGGAACUCCUCAUGCUGAAUUUCUUUUAUAUUAACCAUAUCCAGAUGCACAACCCCCUCCGCUUAAUUCCUUAUUAAUCUACUGUUU